This 397-nucleotide ribosomal RNA is filed under the name uncultured bacterium. RNAcentral describes it as "bacterial SSU rRNA". It matches the Rfam family "Bacterial small subunit ribosomal RNA", at positions 355 to 769 of the family's 1533-position model. The record is from RNAcentral.
UGGGGAAUAUUGCACAAUGGGGGAAACCCUGAUGCAGCGACGCCGCGUGGAGGAAGAAGGUCUUCGGAUUGUAAACUCCUGUUGUUGAGGAAGAUAAUGACGGUACUCAACAAGGAAGUGACGGCUAACUACGUGCCAGCAGCCGCGGUAAAACGUAGGUCACAAGCGUUGUCCGGAAUUACUGGGUGUAAAGGGAGCGCAGGCGGGAAGACAAGUUGGAAGUGAAAUCCAUGGGCUCAACCCAUGAACUGCUUUCAAAACUGUUUUUCUUGAGUAGUGCAGAGGUAGGCGGAAUUCCCGGUGUAGCGGUGGAAUGCGUAGAUAUCGGGAGGAACACCAGUGGCGAAGGCGGCCUACUGGGCACCAACUGACGCUGAGGCUCGAAAGUGUGGGUAGC